Molecule: signal recognition particle RNA, 215 nt
Filed under: Chlorocebus sabaeus (green monkey)
Lineage: Eukaryota; Metazoa; Chordata; Mammalia; Primates; Cercopithecidae
Description: Metazoan signal recognition particle RNA
Rfam family: Metazoan signal recognition particle RNA
About the family: The signal recognition particle (SRP) is a universally conserved ribonucleoprotein. It is involved in the co-translational targeting of proteins to membranes.
Source: Rfam by way of RNAcentral
GCCGGGCGCGGUGGCUCAAGCCUGUAAUCCCAGCACUUUGGGAGGCCGAGAUGGGCGAAUCACGAGGGCAGGAGAUCGAGACCAUCCUGGCUAACACGGUGAAACCCCGUCUCUACUAAAAAAUANNNNNNNNNNUAUUUUUUAGUAGAGACGGGGUUUCACCGUGUUAGCCAGGAUGGUCUCGAUCUCCUGACCUCGUGAUCCGCCCGUCUCGG